This 72-nucleotide transfer RNA is filed under the name Marmota monax (woodchuck). Its description in RNAcentral is "tRNA.Ala". The stretch from base 11 to 67 matches the Rfam family "tRNA", at positions 8 to 63 of the family's 71-position model. Rfam says of the family: Transfer RNA (tRNA) molecules are approximately 80 nucleotides in length. Their secondary structure includes four short double-helical elements and three loops (D, anti-codon, and T loops). Further hydrogen bonds mediate the characteristic L-shaped molecular structure. tRNAs have two regions of fundamental functional importance: the anti-codon, which is responsible for specific mRNA codon recognition, and the 3' end, to which the tRNAs corresponding amino acid is attached (by aminoacyl-tRNA synthetases). tRNAs cope with the degeneracy of the genetic code in two manners: having more than one tRNA (with a specific anti-codon) for a particular amino acid; and 'wobble' base-pairing, i.e. permitting non-standard base-pairing at the 3rd anti-codon position. The record is from RNAcentral. Lineage: Eukaryota; Metazoa; Chordata; Mammalia; Rodentia; Sciuridae.
GCUGGGGACAUGGCUCAAUGGUAGAGCUCUUGCCUAGCAUGCACAAAGCCCUGGGUUCAAUCCCCAGCAGUA